RNAcentral lists this unclassified non-coding RNA (622 nucleotides) under Fusarium equiseti. Its description in RNAcentral is "sequence contains ITS1, 5.8S rRNA gene, ITS2". The stretch from base 190 to 343 matches the Rfam family "5.8S ribosomal RNA". The record is from RNAcentral. Lineage: Eukaryota; Fungi; Ascomycota; Sordariomycetes; Hypocreales; Nectriaceae.
GUAACAAGGUCUCCGUUGGUGAACCAGCGGAGGGAUCAUUACCGAGUUUACAACUCCCAAACCCCUGUGAACAUACCUAUACGUUGCCUCGGCGGAUCAGCCCGCGCCCCGUAAAACGGGACGGCCCGCCCGAGGACCCUAAACUCUGUUUUUAGUGGAACUUCUGAGUAAAACAAACAAAUAAAUCAAAACUUUCAACAACGGAUCUCUUGGUUCUGGCAUCGAUGAAGAACGCAGCAAAAUGCGAUAAGUAAUGUGAAUUGCAGAAUUCAGUGAAUCAUCGAAUCUUUGAACGCACAUUGCGCCCGCCAGUAUUCUGGCGGGCAUGCCUGUUCGAGCGUCAUUUCAACCCUCAAGCUCAGCUUGGUGUUGGGACUCGCGGUAACCCGCGUUCCCCAAAUCGAUUGGCGGUCACGUCGAGCUUCCAUAGCGUAGUAAUCAUACACCUCGUUACUGGUAAUCGUCGCGGCCACGCCGUAAAACCCCAACUUCUGAAUGUUGACCUCGGAUCAGGUAGGAAUACCCGCUGAACUUAAGCAUAUCAAUAAGCGGAGGAAAAGAAACCAACAGGGAUUGCCCUAGUAACGGCGAGUGAAGCGGCAACAGCUCAAAUUUGAAAUCU